RNAcentral lists this long non-coding RNA (1016 nucleotides) under Salvator merianae (Argentine black and white tegu). RNAcentral describes it as "lncRNA (ENSSMRG00000019288.1)". The record is from RNAcentral. Lineage: Eukaryota; Metazoa; Chordata; Lepidosauria; Squamata; Teiidae.
AAGGAACUGGGAGCACAAGUAGUUUUCUCAUCUAUCCUUCCUGUGGAUGGUCAUGGAAAAAGAAGAUGGGACAGGAUUCUUGAGGUGAACAAUUGGCUACGUCAAUGGUGCUAUCGGCAAGGAUUUGGAUUUCUGAACCAUGGAGAAAACUACCUAUAUGAUGGACUCCUUGCAAGAGAUGGGCUGCACCUUAUAAAGACAGGGAAGAAUGUAUUUGGCAAGCGCCUUGCUUCACUCAUCAGGAGAGCUUUAAACUAAAACAAAAGGGGAAGGGGAAAAAAUGUCAAAGAAAAAUACUCAGUCAAUCAAUACAGGCGAUAUUCUUGCUACCAGAAGUAGAAGUAAAGAACAAAAGCAAAAGGUUUGUAAGGAAAGUGGAGGAGUCAAGCUUGUAAGAGGUAUCAGUCGCAAACUAAAAUGCUUCUACACCAAUGCACAGAGUAUGAGAAAUAAAAAAGGAGAACUGGAGAUCCUAACACAGGAAGAUAAAUAUGAUGUCAUAGGCAUUACGGAAACCUGGUGGGAUAACGCACAUGAAUGGAACACGGACAUCGAAGGCUACAACUUAUUUUUGCGAAACAGACUUAACAAAAGAGGAGGGGGUACUGCACUGUAUGUUAAAAAAGCAUUUGUCUCCUCAGAGAUUCAGGUUUCAGAGAAUGGAAGCCCGGUAGAAUCUGUCUGGGUAAGAAUACAAGGAGAGAACAACAGAAAGGACACCAUUGUAGGAGUUUAUUAUAGGCCCCCUGGACAAACAGAAGAUAUGGAUGCUCUCUUUCUAGAUCAGAUNGCUAAACUCUCAAGAAAGCAUGACAUAGUGCUUAUGGGAGAUUUUAACUAUCCAGACAUUUGUUGGGAAUCCCUCUCAGGCAAAAGUCACAAGUCUAAUAAGUUCUUAUCCUCUCUUGCUGACAACUUCAUCUACCAAAAGGUGGAGGAGAAAACAAGAGGACUGGCUAUCCUCAAUCUAAUUCUUACCAACAGGGAGGAAAUGGUUGAGAAAAUCAGAGUUUCUG